GCCAAGGGGAAAGCCCUUUUCUGUUUCCAGCAGGACACACCUGGCAAUGGAUGUGACAUUCAGCACUGCCCAAGUUUCUUCCUCUUGGGGGAAGCAAAGUGGUGAAUGGAAGGAGGCAAUCCUCUGGCAGUGGGAUGCUAGGGAACGAUAAUAAGGCACGUUUGCUUGCUUGAAGGCUGCUGGUAUCUAUGGUUGGAAGCUGGUGGACGUCUCAUGAUGGACCUAAGAGAAGCUGGCAGAUGUUGGUAGAUGGAAGUCAGUGGUUUUUGGAUUCAGAAGUCAGUGGAGGCUACAAGGCUAAAGCAGACUGAUGUUUGUGGAUGUUGGCUGAUGGAAGUUCACCUGUGGAAGACAGUCAACAGAAGCCAGUAGAUAUUUGUGGAUUGCAGCCAGGGCACAAACAUGAAUGGUUGUCAUGUUUUUGGAUGUCGGCUGGAAUAUGUUUAUGUGAGUACAUGGGAGGUUUCAAAUGGGGUUGAGGCAAAAUGGUGUUUGCAUGUGCACAAAUGUGAUUUGUGGAAGGUAGAUAUUCAUAAAUAGAUGGAACCCGUGGGAGGGGGGAUAUUGGUUUCAUGGAAUCAGAGAAUCAGGGAAUCGAGUUUGGGAGGGACCAUGAGGGUCAUCUAGCCCAACCCCUUACAAUGCAGGAAUCUUUUGCCAAAAGUGGGGCUCAAACCCACUGGCAUGCUUCUGAACGGCUAGGUUGGCAGGAGCUGGGACAGAGCAACGGGAGCUCACCCUGUCACGGGGAUUCAAACUGCAAUUGGCAAGCCCAAGAGGCUCAGGGGUGUGACUCAGCACCACCUGCAUCCCUUGUGUAAUGCUUCAAAGGUUAAGAAAAGGCUUUACUUUGUGGCCUGCAUUCUGUAUAAACCCUGUCUAAUACUUUAAAAACAACAACCAGGUGAUGUAGGAAUAGUUUUUGGUUUGUACAUGUCUGGCAGAAACCAAAUAAGAAUAAAUUAUUCAAAUGUUCCAAAAGUUGAUACAUGAAAGGAAGUAAUUCUGGGGGGAAAGCAGCAGAAACCUGAAGCAAGGGUGACUUUAGGGAAAAUUAGACGGGGAGAGCCAAGUGGUGGUGAAGACUAUUAUUGUGGGAGAAGGAAUUCCACUGUUUAUGGAUACUUUAUCAAAUUCAGGAGAAUGCUGUUAGUAAGGUAGAUGAUGUUGAAACUAAGCUGGCCUGGGUGAGGCCAGUACCUGGUUGGGAGACAGGUGAGAUAUAAAUGUAGUAAAUAAACUAAGGGACGCAGGUGGCGCUGUGGGUUAAACCACAGAGCCUAGGACUUGUCGAUCAGAAGGUUGAUGGUUCGAAUCCCUGCGAUGGGAUGAGCUCCCGUUGCUCGGUCCCUGCUCCUGCUAACCUAGCAGUUUGAAAGCACGUCAGAGUGCAAGUAGAUAAAUAGGUACUGCUCUGGCGGAAAGGUAAACGGCGUUUCCGUGCGCUGCUCUGGUUCGCUAGAAGCGGCUUAGUCAUGCUGGCCACAUGACCUGGAAGCUGUACGCCGGCUCCCUCGGCCAAUAAAGCGAGAUGAGCGCCGCAACCCCAGAGUCGGCCACGACUGGACCUAAUGGUCAGGGGUCCCUUUAAAUAAACUAAAAAUAUAUAUUACCUUCUCAAUAAAGCUGGAUAUGGCUGCUGUUGGGAGACCUAACAUAUCUGCCUACAAUUCUCUUUGGCUCAAGAAACUUUGACAACUCCUCUCCCCGCAUCCAAUAGCCAUGACAGCUGAACCCCUUUAUGUCAUCUUUAACCCGACAAGAGCAAGAAAAUGUUCUUUGGCAUACAGCACACCAUAUAGGAAAACUCACACAUAUCUUUUUAUUUCCAAGCAGCUGCACCACAUUGACAGCCUUGGAUUUCUGUUCUUUAUGGUGUUUAAUUGCUUUUGUUCCUGUCAGUCUCCGUUCUGUCUAUAUCACGCCUGUAGUGUUCUGCAAGUGGUUUCAAUUUUAAAAAGUAAAGGGAGUUCUCACAUUUUGCUUACGCUAAUUGACACCAACUAGAACAGUAUUAUUUCCCAGAAGAUCUUCCUUAAAACUCUCCAGUUAGUCUGCAAAGCACUGGCGAAAAAGGGAGCAUGUUUUCCGAAGUCUAUUUUAUCUAAGAGACGCUGUUCUUCCCUUGAUACUCCUUCAGUCAAAAUGUACUACUUGAGCUUUAAAUGAAUUUUGGGGCAUACAUGGAGAUCUCUUCAUUUUAUAGGCAAAGACAUAGAACCACACAAAAAGCAAACGGUUUCUAAGCCCUCCCACAAAUCACUAUGAUUGGAGGGCUGAUCCGCAUGAUACAUUUAAGACACACCCACUUCACAUUGGGAGCACAUCCCAAACAAUCCCAGAAACUGAUAUUUCCCUUCGCAGAGCACUAGUUCCAAACACCUUCAACAAGCGACAGUUUUCAGGAUUCUUUGGGCGAAGUCAUGUGAUCUGUGAUGUGGUCAAGAUGAUACUUCAAAGCAACUGAUGGUUUCAGUUUAUGACCCAAAUCGUGUUUGGUCACAAGUGUCUGUAUUCCCCUAUAGCCAAUGUUUAAUCUGCAUGUCAUCAUUUUUCUCACAAAAGUUAUUGUAUCGGUCUUUGACUUGGCAGAGUUGGCAGCUUGCACUUAACGCAUGUUUCUCUGUGCUGAACGGCUAGUUUUUGAAAACAAGCCUUUACUGGCUUUAUUGAGGUCUUGUGAGAGUAUGCAGGCUGCCAACAGAGUUUGCAAAUUGAGUAAUUCUGUAGUUUCAUAAAGAAUAUCGCUGCAUAGUGCAAUCCGCCAGCAAUCCAUCUGCUUACAAAUGAACUUUGUACUGCAUUUGUGCAGAAACAGAAUGUGUGCAUGACCCGAGGAGGCAAAAUGCCAUGCUUUUAUUGCUCUUGUUGGGAGCUGGGAAUGUUUGUGUUUGCUUUAGAGCUUGUUGAGUUUAAUUCUUUGAAGCCUGACAGAUGUGUCUCCAGUCUCAGGAUAGAACCAUAAUGUUGGAAGCUCAGGCGGGCCUGCGAGGACGUGAGACCACGAGGGCAUGCCAUGAGCGCAUGCAGUGAAAGAGUCACGCUGAUGCCGCUAAGUUUGCUUCUGAUAAGCGGUGGGAUAGGAGACUCUCUGAGAACCAGACAUAUGCUGCCUAAAGUUUCACUGUGUAAGAAAGGAGAGAUAUAAGUAUUUUCCUAGACUCACAGAGUUGUAGAGUUGGAAGGGACCCCAAGUAUCACCUAGUCCAAGCCCUUGCAAUGCAGGAAUUUUCAUUAUUACUGAUUCCUCUGCUUCCUGACUUAUGCUAUACAGUGGUACCUUGGUUCUCAAAUGCCUUAGUACUCAAACAACUUGGAACCCAAACAUUGCAAACCCAGAAGUAAGUGUUCCGGUUUGCGGACCUUUUUCAGAAGCCGAAUGUGCUCUGUUUUGAGUGUUACACUUCCGAUUUGAGUGUUACGCUGAGGUCUGUUUUUGCUAUUUAUUUUGCGUUUUUGCGGUUCUUUUUGUUUUGUUUCUGUGACUCUGUGGAACCCAGUUCAGCUACUGAUUGAUUGAUUGGUGGUGUGACUGCAGUACAUUGUUUAUUGUACAUUGCUUAUGGAUCAAUGGUCUCGUUAGAUAGUAAAAUUCAUGUCAAAUUGCUGUUUUCGGUUUUUUUUAAAAAAAAGUCUGGAACGGAUUAAUUUAUUUUGCAUUGCUUUCUAUGGGAAAGCGCAUCUUGGUUUUGGAACGCUUUGGUUUUGGAAUGGACUUCCAGAACGGAUUAAGUUUGAGAACCAAGGUACCACUGUAUGUUUGUUUAUUCAUAGAAUCAUAGAACUGUAGAGUUGGAAGGGAUCCCUGCAAUGCAGGAAUCUCAAUUUUAUUACAUUUCUGUCCAAGGAUCACAGAGCGGUUUACAAUAGAAAAAUACAAAAAUGUACAACAUAGUAACAAACAAAAGCAAUACAUCCCACCCCCCAGUAUUAUUUAUGUUGGCAUAAUUUGGAUUUGGGAAGUCAGAAAAUUCCAUUGGGGGGAAAAAUCCCACAAUUGGCACAUUUGUCUAAGGUCAGCAAUGGAAAUCCAUGCAAGCAGAGAUAAGCAGCGUUUGCUACAAUUGUUUUAUUAUUAUUAUUAUUAUUAUUAUUAUUAUUAUUAUUAUUUAGUCAACAAAUGUUGGAUUUAAAAUUGCAGAAUUUUUCUGCAGUCUUUUUUUUAAAAAAAACCAUUUCCCUUCCCCUGAAACACAUUGAAAUAUUUAUGUGGUUAAUCACGUAAGUUUCGGCCAUGGCGGGAUCACAAGGUGAAUCACUUAUUUUUUAGCAGAAGCUGAACUGCAGGGGAAUGGAAACACUGAUGAUUGGGAUGAACCUAGAGUGGGAAAGAAGUUAAUGCCAGCUUACAUUCCUUAGGCUACUUGAUAUGGAGUCUUCUAGACCAAGACUGUCUCCACUGACUAGGAGAGGUUCUUCAAGGGCUCAGGCAGCCCUUGUACUUGAGACCCUUUGAAAAUGGAGGCACUGGGGACUGAACCCUGGAACUUCUGAAUGCAAACAAUGUACUCUGCUGUUUAGUUAUGGUCCCUCCUCUGUACAAAAAAACUUCUAUUGUCCUGGGAGAAGGAUAGGAGGAGAAGCCACAUAUUGAUAGGAGGAGAAGCCACAGUGACAACAUCUCCACCUUUGUUUGCAGACCGAUGAAAGGAACAAGUAGAAUCUCUCAAUUUUAAUUAUUGUUAUCAUAGUUUGGAGAUGGGCAGAUAUGCCAAUUUUGGUUUCUCUCCCUUUUUCAUUUCCCUCCAAUCUUAAGUUCAGGUUGCCACAUUUCUGCAUCAGUUUAAAACACUUUUGUGCCUAUUUCUCUGCAGCUAUCCAUUUUUGUAUGCAAUGUACCUGCUAUAACAUUACACACCUUUAGGCGCCAGGCAAAAGCAUUCCUUUUUAACCAGGCCUUUGAGUGAUACGAUUUACAUCCUAUGCCCUUUUAAAAUGUGUUUUUCAGGAGGGGGGGGCUAUUGAGUUGCUUUUAUUUUUAUUAUGUAUUUUGUGGUUUUAUACAGUGGUACCUCGGGUUAAGUACUUAAUUUGUUCCGGAGGUCCGUACUUAACCUGAAACUGUUCUUAACCUGAAGCACCACUUUAGCUAAUGGGGCCUCCUGCUGCUGCCGUGCCGCCGGAGCACAAUUUAUGUUCUCAUCCUGAAGCAAAGUUCUUAAUCAGAAGCACUAUUUCUGGGUUAGCGGAGUCUGUAACCUGAAGCCUAUGUAACUGAAGCGUAUGCAACCUGAGGUACCACUGUAUUUUGAUUUUAUUCUGUGAGCCGUCCUGAGACCCCCGGGUAUAGGGCGGUAUAUAAAUUAUAAUAAUAAUAAUAAUAAUUAAUAAUAAUAUUUUUGUGAGCAAUUUCUCUGAAUAUAAUUCAUAUAUGCAUUUCUACAAGACAUGUCUCUUAAUGUCCAUCAUUUCGUGCAUCAUUUAGAUUAAAUGUUCUUUGAGGUCCCUAACCAUCCCUACGAUUGCUUUUCGGAAGCAUUGGACUUGUUCCUCCAUGUGGAAAGGAAAUAUAAAAAUAGCAGCAACGAGGUUGUCCAAAAUGUGAAUAAUCAUUUCAAGGGCAGUUUCUGAAAAGGAAAACAAAAACAACAUUCCAAAGGCUUAUACAUUUCAAUCCACGUGGAAGGGGGAAUUCCUGUGUCCUGUUUCCCCUCACACACUCUUGAGAAUUUCUGAAAGGCAGUAUUGAGUUGCAUCAGAGCUGUUGCCUUAUGCAACAUAAUGUAAAGCAAAGUAAUUCGUUCAGACUGACGUAACCAGAAUGACUACACAAGCAGGCAAUACAGCUCACGGAGGCUGAUGUAAUAAGAAGGAGUGCUCCAGAAAUGUGGAUGAAAGGAAGGGCACGCCUGUCACAAAACAAAGGAAUCCUCUCCCCCGUCCCUCCCCUUCCGAGAUCUGCUGCUAGAAAAAGUAAAAUAUGCAAAUACGGCAAUAGCUGAGUUUUAGCUCAGCCAGCUGAAGCUGGUGCAGAGAAAGCGAGCAACUGAAAGGACUCUCAGAAGGACAUCUCACUGACGGUGCUGCAAAGUUGCUGCUGGGCUAUCAGUCUAAUCACGGGACUGGUGAUCAGGAGGCUAUAAAACUGAACUUUAAAAAACCCUACAGAGUUAUGUGAACUUUGGCCACAGACAACUGAGCACUAGCUGUUUUGAUCCUGCAUGUCCACCAGUAUGACUUGUAUGUACGGAACAGUGUUCACCUUUCUGUAUUAUUGGGCAUGUUGGAUACAAAAAUAUUUCAAGGCGCAAAUCAAGCCCGGUGCAGACCACCAUUUCUGCCAUGUCUGUUGGUUAGCUAUUCCAGACUCUCCAAGUCGUUUCCCUAUGUUCCAGGGACAUUCCCGGAUUUACAGAAGCCAUCCCGGUUUCUGAUUUGAUCCUAGAAUGUCCUGCUUUUUCUUAGGACGUCCCUAUUUUCAAAGGAGAAAUGUUGGAGUUAUGUGACCCCUGAGCCAAGGAGUAACUAUACAACCUUUAGAAAAUGAAGAGUUUUUUUAAAAAAUGUUUAUGAUUUGAUACAUGUUGAAGGCCGCCCAGUGUGGCUGGGGCAACCCAGUCAGAUGGGCAGGAUAUAAAUAUAGUUAUCAUCAUCAUCAUCAUCAUCAUCAUCAUCAUCAAAUAGGACAUCCCUAUUUUCACCAGAGAAAUGUUGGAGGGUUUGCUAUUUAGCAACAUGCACCAUUUAUUCUGUGGAUUGGGCAAGGCUUUGAUGAUGAUAAUACAGUGAAUUAUUCCAGCAUUCAGUUGCUUGUUUCUAUAAAGAGUAUGCAGUGUCAAAGUAGGGAGGAAGCAUGCCUGGCUAAAGGAGGCAGUGGGAGGUAGAAGAUGAAGACCCCUCUCCUCACUCAUGUUAUACGGUUUGGCUUUGACUUUGUGCCAAAUAUUCUCUCUGUGCCUCUCUUAACUUACAACCCUAAUACUGUGCCUAUGGAGAUCUUAAAAUAUUAUUGUGGGUACUAUUGCCAAUCGUGAAUCACACAGGCUUUUCUCAAGGCUAGCCAAAGUUCAAGCUAUAUAUUUAGCCUCCUUUCUAUGGGAAUCACCACCAUUUCCAGGACUGCAUAAAAUAUAAAAUAAGCAGAUUUACCGUUCCUGGAUAAUGCAUUAAGAACCCUACUGACUGAGUAUGGCUGCCAAAACAUACCUGCUGACUCAGAUAUUCUGUCAUGUUCUACAGCAUGCAAGUAUAUGUAUAUAUAUAUAUGGCAGAAUUGCACCCCAGAUAAAAUAGAAAUAUAACUGUUGAACUGUAUGGUGGGUUUGCCCUUCUUAUCUUGUUGUAAAAGCCUCUCCUCCUUACAGAGGGGAGGAGUUGUGAGCAGGAACCGUUUCCUGCGUUGGCAGGGGGCGUUCCAGCCCCUGCCCAGCUGGCCUGGCUGCCACGCCACGCCCCCAGGUAGCCAACCAAUCAGGUGGAGGCUUGGGGGCGGGGUUUAGCCGCUUAAACGCAGCCACGGCAGCACUUCCCUUUCAUUCUGCUGCUGGUUUCUCUUUUGGCUUGGGUGGCGGUUAGGCAUUGGAAUAUGUUUGUGUAUUGGAGGGCAGGGUGUGGCCAUCGGAUACCCCUCCACUUUAUGGGUAUUCCGGUAAAGGAAUCCGGCGGUCAUGGAUCCUGUCUGAUGCCCUUGCUGGUGGCUAGGGCCAUGGCACAACCCCCGGUGACAUCAGGAGGAGCUUUCAGUUGUACAGUGGUACCUCAGGUUAAGUACUUAAUUGGUUCCGGAGGUCCGUACUUAACCUGAAACUAUUCUUAAUCUGAAGCACCACUUUAGCUAAUGGGCUAAAAUGGGGAGGCCCCAUGAGCUAAAGUGGUACCUCAGGUUCAGAACAGUUUCAGGUUAAGAACAGACCUCCAGAACGAAUUAAGUUUGUAACUGGAGGUACCACUGUAUUUCUCUUCCCUAGGAUGCUGUGAAUUUUCACAAUUGCCAUGAGAACUUCUUCAUGAAAACAAAGCUCAUUUUGCUAGCCCAGUGGAUCUACUAUCAAUGGACUAUGGGGUACAAAUCCAGGAUCUUGCAACCCAAAGGAAGACCCUCACAUCCAAUGACCAUGUCAUAUCAGCAGUACAGUGGUACCUCAGGUUAAGAACCUAAUUCAUUCUGGAGGUCCGUUCUUAACCUGAAACUGUUCUGAACCUGAGGUACCACUUUAGCUAAUGGGGCCUCCCGCUGCCGCCACGCCGCCACCACAUGAUUUCUGUUCUCAUCCUGAAGCAAAGUUCUUAACCCGAGGUAAUAUUUCUGGGUUAGCAGAGUCUGUAACCUGAAGCGUAUGUAACCUGAAGCGUAUGUAACCCGAGGUACCACUGUAUUUGCAUCAACAGGCUCCUCCCACUGGUGGUUAACCCUUGUUAGACUCACCCCUCCCUGAGGGGGUGGAAUCACGCUCUGUUGUUUUAUCCAGUGCCUAAGCCAAUACCUCCCACAUGCUGUAAUCAAUAAAGUUGUGGCCUUUUUUAGCCCAUUAACCUAAUAUACUGUUUCCAUGUGUCUUUCUUAUCCCCAAGUGGGUGGCGGGUCCUUGAAUCACAAAUCUACUCAUUUGGAGAAAACUGUUGUGGACACCAUAAGCAACUUCACAGAAGAAAAACUGGUGAUUCAGAACAGAGGGGGAAAUCAGACAGCACCCCACAAAAACCGGCAAACCUACAAAAUCAAAAGCCCCCCCCCCAAUUCAUUUGAAAUUGGGAGACAUGGGGGAAACCACGUUGGGGACCCCAGGGCUAAGGGAAGAGUUAGUGAGCCAAUAGGAUGCAGACAAAUAAGAAAUAACAUUCUGUUUUUACCUCUAUCUGUCUAUCUGAUGCGUCAAUUGAGAUUCCUGCAUUGCAGGGGCUGGGACUAGAUGAUACUUGGCAUUCCUCCCAACUCUGCGAUUCUAUGAUUCUAUGUACAGUGGUACCUCAGGUUAAGUACUUAAUUCGUUCCAGAGAUCCGUUCUUAACCUGAAACUGUUCUUAACCUGAAGCACCACUUUAGCUAAUGGCACCUCCUGCGGCUGCUGCGCCGCCGCCGCACAAUUUCUGUUCUUACCCUGAAGCAAAGUUCUUAACCCGAGGUACUAUUUCUGGGUUAGCGAAGUCUGUAACCUGAAGCGUCUGUAACCCGAGGUACCACUGUACACAUGUGUACAUAACACAAGAAGAUGGGGCUCUGCUUCCAGAAAAUAACAGAUGAAAAGCAGACACAAGGGAAACAACAGAGGAAGAGGAGAGAGCCAAGAGUAAACAAGGAAGCAAUAUUGAAUCGUUUCACUUACAUCAGCUUAUUGCAGAAGACAGGGCAUUCGUUCUGCAACUUGUGACCCUAGACUUGGGAUCCAGCACAAGAAAACCAAAGCAAGCCCCAAGGGUUUGCUGACCAUAGUGUUCUUCUGAAACCAAGUCAUUUCACUAGAACAACUUGUCCCUUCUAUUCAUGGCGCAUCCACGUAAUGGUGAUGGACUCUCUCCAUCAUCUCUCCACCCUUCUCCCUUCAAAUGAGAAUACCUGUACAGGUGAGUAGUUUGGUCAGAACAGCAGCACUGAAGAUGGAAGUUGCCCAACACCAUUUUGCUCACCAGAAUUGUCCCCCAGGCUGCUGUUUGCCCCACAGGUAUUUAACUUCCCUGUAGCCCCCGACUGAACAAAUAGUAGCCUGCCAUUUUGAUCGUGAAAAAUGAAAUGGGAGAAAGCGUUUAAAAAAGAUCCUCUCCUGCAAACUGCUCUGACUAUUUCAUUAAAUUUAAUCUAUUCGACCAUUGAUAUCCCAUGCAACAUGCAGUUCAGCCCUCCCACCCGCUGAAUAUACAAAACUACAGCCAAUAUACAGUACAGUGGUACUUCGGGUUAAGAACUUAAUUCGUUCUGGAGGUCUGUUCUCAGUGGCGUAGCAUGGGGGGUGCAGGGGGGGCCGGCCGCACCGGGCACAACAUCUGGGGGGGGGCGUGCUCGCACUCGCAGCUCUCUGCCCCUACCUGGCUCACUCACUCUCUCUCACUGCAGUGCUGGCUGUGCGAAUCCGAUCCGAGCCGCUGGGUCGCCGCCCACUGUGGAGGGGGUGGGUGCCAGGCAUGCGGUGCGGAGAGAGAGCGAGGGACUAUCUGGGGGAGGGACAGUGCAGUGGCUGUCCAGCGCAGCGCUGAGCGCGGGAGAGAACCACACCAGACCAGCCCAGGUAGCAGCAAGAAGAAGCUGGCAGCGGCGGCAGGUUAGGGGUUAGGGGGCGCAAAUUACUUGCCUUGCCCUGGAUGCUGACAACCCACGCUACGCCGCUGUCUGGUCUUAAAGUGAAACUGUUCUUAACCUGAAGCACCACUUUACUUAAUGAGGCCUUCCACUGUCACUGUGUCGCCGCUGCACAAUUUCUGUUCUCAUCCUGAAGUAAAGUUCUUAACCUGAGGUAAUAUUUCUGGGUUAGUGGAGUCUGUAACCUGAAGCGUAUGUAACCCAGGGUACCACUGUAUAAAUAUAUUGAAAGCUGCUGCCUGGAGAACUUUGGUUAGUGUGGGGGGUGGGGCAGAGAUAAAUAACUUUCUUUUGUUCCAGUUUUUAGGAUACUGUUCUGGCGGCUACUGAGAAAUCCAUACAAAUGGAAAACAUCAUGUUUGCUCCCAUUGCUGGUUCCCCCGAGUUAAAUGCUGGAAGGUUUACACCAGGCAUGUCUAAAGUCCGUCUUGGGCGCCUAAUCUGGCCCGCUCAACAACUUCAAUCCUAAAAAAAGAAAGCUCAACAACUUUGACUGGCAGUUUGGUGUUGACCCCCACGCCCCUUCACUUCAUCAAAACUGGCCCUCUUUGAAAAAAGUUUGGACACCACAGGUAUACACUAUAUUACGGCAAGGGAAUCGUAGCUUGUUAACUUGCCCAGAAUGAAUUAUUUCCAUUUGAUUUGUAUGGAGUUGAAUUUUGUACGGAGUAGCUACUUUAGCAUGAUUUGUAUGGAGUCCAAUUUUCAAAUGAAGGGGAAAAAAUAAUCACCUGGGCAUAAUUUUCUCCUACAGGAUAUCGGUCGCAAACCUUGGGACAGAUGACUUCAUGGUCAGUCAUGUGCCUUGUGUCAAGAGGCACAGCGAUGCAUUUGUUCCUGCUUGCUCCUGUCCAAAGAUCAUAUCCCUUUUCCAAGGCA
RNAcentral lists this long non-coding RNA (11110 nucleotides) under Podarcis lilfordi (Lilford's wall lizard). Lineage: Eukaryota; Metazoa; Chordata; Lepidosauria; Squamata; Lacertidae. The record is from RNAcentral.